Molecule: ribosomal RNA, 260 nt
Filed under: uncultured archaeon
Lineage: Archaea
Description: partial 16S ribosomal RNA
Rfam family: Archaeal small subunit ribosomal RNA
Source: RNAcentral
CAGCCGUAAACUAUGCGCGUUAGGUGUACUGGUGACCACGAGUCACCGGGGUGCCGAAGGGAAACCGUGAAACGUGCCGCCUGGGAAGUACGGUCGCAAGGCUGAACUUAAAGGAUUGGCGGGGGGAGCACCACAACGGGUGGAGCCUGCGGUUUAAUUGGACUCAACGCCGGAAAUCUCACCGGAUAGGACAGACAUAUGAUAGUCGGGCUGAAGACUCUACUUGAUGAUCUGAGAGGUGGUGCAUGGCGUCAGUGACU